AGUGAACGCUGGCGGUAGGCCUAACACAUGCAAGUCGAACGGCAGCACAGGAGAGCUUGCUCUCUGGGUGGCGAGUGGCGGACGGGUGAGGAAUACAUCGGAAUCUACUCUGUCGUGGGGGAUAACGUAGGGAAACUUACGCUAAUACCGCAUACGACCUACGGGUGAAAGCAGGGGACCUUCGGGCCUUGCGAGACUGAAUGAGCCGAUGUCGGAUUAGCUAGUUGGCGGGGUAACGGCCCACCAAGGCGACGAUCCGUAGCUGGUCUGAGAGGAUGAUCAGCCACACUGGAACUGAGACACGGUCCAGACUCCUACGGGAGGCAGCAGUGGGGAAUAUUGGACAAUGGGCGCAAGCCUGAUCCAGCCAUACCGCGUGGGUGAAGAAGGCCUUCGGGUUGUAAAGCCCUUUUGUUGGGAAAGAAAUCCAGCUGGCUAAUACCCGGUUGGGAUGACGGUACCCAAAGAAUAAGCACCGGCUAACUUCGUGCCAGCCGCCGCGGUAA
Molecule: ribosomal RNA, 506 nt
Filed under: uncultured bacterium
Lineage: Bacteria
Description: partial 16S ribosomal RNA
Rfam family: Bacterial small subunit ribosomal RNA
Source: RNAcentral